GGAGUCUAGCAUGUACGCGAGUCAUUGGGAUAUAACUAAACCUAAAGGCGCAAUGAAAGUGAAAGUCCGCCUUGAGCUGGACGGAGGGAAGAUGGGCGUCGGUCAUAAACCACCGCGUCCCGCAUUCCCGGGACGUCUCGUUCUCGGCUUGUCCGAGGAGAGGCGCACCAAGAGCGUACACGCUGGGACCCGAAAGAUGGUGAACUAUGCCUGGUCAGGACGAAGUCAGGGGAAACCCUGAUGGAGGUCCGUAGCGAUUCUGACGUGCAAAUCGAUCGUCGGAACUGGGUAUAGGGGCGAAAGACUAAUCGAACCAUCUAGUAGCUGGUUCCCUCCGAAGUUUCCCUCAGGAUAGCUUGCGCUCGUAACGAACGAGUCUCAUCCGGUAAAGCGAAUGAUUAGAGGCAUUGGGGCCGAAACGGCCUCAACCUAUUCUCAAACUUUAAAUGGGUGAGAUCUCCGGCUUGCUCGAACCGUUGAAGCCGCGAGAUACGGAUCAGAGUGCAAAGUGGGCCAUUUUUGGUAAGCAGAACUGGCGCUGUGGGAUGAACCAAACGUCGAGUUAAAGCGCCCAAAUCGACGCUUAUGGGACACCAUGAAAGGCGUUGGUAACUUAAGACAGCAGGACGGUGGCCAUGGAAGUC
This 644-nucleotide ribosomal RNA is filed under the name Hypebaeus albifrons. RNAcentral describes it as "eukaryotic LSU rRNA". It matches the Rfam family "Eukaryotic large subunit ribosomal RNA", at positions 670 to 1262 of the family's 3401-position model. Lineage: Eukaryota; Metazoa; Arthropoda; Insecta; Coleoptera; Melyridae. The record is from RNAcentral.